This 440-nucleotide ribosomal RNA is filed under the name uncultured bacterium. RNAcentral describes it as "partial 16S ribosomal RNA". It matches the Rfam family "Bacterial small subunit ribosomal RNA", at positions 338 to 795 of the family's 1533-position model. The record is from RNAcentral.
CCUACGGUGGACAGCAGUGGGGAAUAUUGCGCCAUGGGCGAAAGCCUGACGCAGCGACGCCGCGUGAGUGAAGACGUAUUUCGGUAUUUCAAGCUCUAUCAGCAGGGAAGAAAAUGACGGUACCUGACUAAUAAGCCCCGGCUAACUACGUGCCAGCAGCCGCGGUAAUACGUAGGGGGCAAGCGUUAUCCGGAUGUACUGGGUGUAAAGGGAGCGUAGCCGGUUAUGCAAGUCUGAAGUGAAAGCCCAAGGCUCAACCAUGGGACUGCUUUGGAAACUGUAAAACUGGAGUGCAGGAGAGGUAAGCGGAAUUCCUAGUGUAGCGGUGAAAUGCGUAGAUAUUAGGAGGAACACCAGUGGCGAAGGCGGCUUACUGGACUGUAACUGACGUUGAGGCUCGAAGGCGUGGGGAGCAAACAGGAUUAGAUACCCGGGUAGUC